GCCUUUGUAGCUCAGUGGCAGAGCGUUCCACUCGUAAUGGAAAGGUCCUCGGAUCAAUCCCGAGCGGAGGCA
This is a transfer RNA of 72 nucleotides. It matches the Rfam family "tRNA". Rfam says of the family: Transfer RNA (tRNA) molecules are approximately 80 nucleotides in length. The record is from Rfam.